Hylaeus volcanicus is the source of this 745-nucleotide long non-coding RNA. RefSeq lists it as uncharacterized. The transcript has 2 exons. NCBI's taxonomy places the organism in Eukaryota, Metazoa, Arthropoda, Insecta, Hymenoptera, Colletidae. The record is from RefSeq and is a predicted model, not a curated record.
AAUAAAAAUAUUUAUAUGUAUGGAAUUCCUAUAUUUUGACAAAUUUUAUGUUUUUAUUUUUUAUAUUUAAAAAUCUCUGAACAUGGCACACUUUUUUUACAUAUUCUACGUAAUAAAUUGUCUGUUCCAACAAAAAAACAUACUUAUAUAUAUAUAUAUAUACGGCACUGGUGACAACAAUGGCGGCGAAGGAAGGAAGGAAAUCAGUAACCCUAUGUUUUUGAGACUGGAAAUUGGUAUUUUUGCACAAAAAUUAAUCUGUAUGCAAAGUUUGUCGGAAUUUUGAAAGAAUCAAGUCUUGACAUUUUGUUAUAAACAAAAGUAUCGGUAUUUUUCAAAAGGUUCGCGAAUGUGAAUUUGUAAGCUUUCAGAAGACAAAAGGAAGCAUAUUGUACAGAGUGCUGUUAAAAACUGAUAUAAGCUCCAUGUGUUUUUAAACAGCAAGAUCAAAAAAUUUCGAAAAAAGGAAAGAUAAGUUAAAUGUAAUUUGUGUACGCGAUAUAUUGGUCCAAGUGCCAAGAAGAGCUAAAGUUCUACCUAAUAGGGUAAACAGUGCUUCUCAUGGUACAUUAAAAUCAAAUUAGUUUAUUGUCGGAUCAACCAAUCAAAUCGGUCAAUAACGACUCAGUAAAAAGUUUGAAAGUUGAAACUGAAAUUUCAUUUUCAUUAUUUGUCAUUUUUUAUAUUGCUUUUGUUAAAAGGAAUAAAAAUAGCAAUUUUAUUAAACUUCUUGUUUGCAAUGAAA